GGGGGUGUAGCUCAGCUGGUUAGAGUACCUGCCUGUCACGCAGGAUGCCGUGGGUUCGAGCCCCAUCACUCCCGCAA
This 77-nucleotide transfer RNA is filed under the name Elusimicrobia bacterium RIFOXYB2_FULL_49_7. Its description in RNAcentral is "tRNA-Asp". It matches the Rfam family "tRNA". Rfam says of the family: Transfer RNA (tRNA) molecules are approximately 80 nucleotides in length. Their secondary structure includes four short double-helical elements and three loops (D, anti-codon, and T loops). Further hydrogen bonds mediate the characteristic L-shaped molecular structure. tRNAs have two regions of fundamental functional importance: the anti-codon, which is responsible for specific mRNA codon recognition, and the 3' end, to which the tRNAs corresponding amino acid is attached (by aminoacyl-tRNA synthetases). tRNAs cope with the degeneracy of the genetic code in two manners: having more than one tRNA (with a specific anti-codon) for a particular amino acid; and 'wobble' base-pairing, i.e. permitting non-standard base-pairing at the 3rd anti-codon position. The record is from RNAcentral. Lineage: Bacteria; Pseudomonadati; Elusimicrobiota.